Long non-coding RNA from Myotis lucifugus (little brown bat), 707 nucleotides. RefSeq lists it as uncharacterized. The transcript is spliced from 3 exons. The record is from RefSeq and is a predicted model, not a curated record. Lineage: Eukaryota; Metazoa; Chordata; Mammalia; Chiroptera; Vespertilionidae.
GGGACGUAUUUGUUCUCAAGGCUGCCUUGUGUCCUGGGCACCCACUGGGGUCCUGGAAAGCAGCCACUCCUCUCCUGACAUCGUUUUGAAAUAGCCUGGGCGAUUUGGACUCUUCAGCCACAAAAUGCAAGAGUACACCGAAUUCAGCUGAAAUAUCCCCAUGUGAGUGAAAGUGUGAAUGCCUUCCAGAAUUUCUCCCAGAACUUGUACCUAGAGUUCAGGUGAAGUGAAAGGGUAGAAAGUAAAUUCUUUUUUGUUGUUAUUGUUGUUGUUGUUAAUCCUCACCCAAGGAUAUUUUUCCAUUGAUUUUUAGAGAGUGGAAGGGAGGAGAGAGACACACAGAGAGAAACAUGGAGGUGAGAGAGAGACAUCAAUUGUUUGCCUCCCACAUGAGCCCUGACCAGGGCCGGGGAUCAAGCCUGCAACUUGAUCCGUGCCAGUGACUGGAAUCAAACGCAGGACCCUUCAGUCCGAGGGCCAACAUUCUAUCCACCGAGCCAAACUGGCUAGGAGGAAAGUAAGUCCUCCUGACAUGAAUCACACCACCACCCUUCCCGCACUUCAGAUUUCGACCUCUACCCUACCUAGACGCGGCAGUCCUUGGAAAAACCCAGAACAGAAACUUCCCUGCCAAGUGAAGAGUUGCUCACUGGAGUGGCUUCAGGAAAUGCAAAUCGAAUGUCUGUAGCGGUAUUUAAAGACAGGAA